UGUCACCAAAACAUUAUUUUUCUCCACUCAUCUCUUCCUCUUUACAUCAUCUCUACUUUCCUCUCCAUUAGGCCUCCUCCAUGCCAUGGUUUCCUCCUCCUCCUCCUCCUCGAAGCACUGCAAGAAAAACGACUCAUUCAAUGGCUGCUCCAACCCCACCAAGAAACCAAGACUUUCUUUCAUUUCUGACUCUGAAAUCCAAUCAGAGUUCUCCCACCAUGACCAAACCAUCUCUCGGAUUAACAACGGCAGCUUUGGGAGCUGUCCUCAAUCUGUCAUCUCUGCCCAGCAAAGCUUCCAGCUCCAGUUCCUCCGCCAGCCUGAUCACUUCUACUUCAACACCCUCCAAUCUUCUAUCCUUCAUUCACGUUCCAUCAUCAAAUCUUUGGUAAACGCUCGUUCUGUUGAUGAAAUCUCCCUUGUGGACAAUGCCACCACUGCUGUUGCCAUUGUUUUACAGAACUAUGCAUGGGGUUUUACUGAAGGGAGAUUUAACAAAGGAGAUGUUGCUGUCAUGUUGCAUUAUGCUUAUGGUGCUGUAAAAAAGUCUGUUCAGGCUUAUGUGACGCGUGCUGGAGGGGAAGUUAUUGAGGUACAGUUACCUUUCCCUAUUACAUCAAAGGAAGAGAUCGUGAGUGAAUUUAGAAAGGCUUUAGAGAGAGGGAAAGAAAAUGGGAAGAAGAAAGUUAGGUUGGCUGUGAUUGAUCAUGUUACUUCAAUGCCAAGUGUUGUUAUUCCUGUUAAAGAAUUAGUUAAGAUUUGUAGAGAGGAAGGUGUUGAUCAGGUUUUUGUUGAUGCUGCUCAUGGAAUUGGGUGUGUUGAUGUUGAUGUGAGAGAUAUUGGGGCUGAUUUUUAUACUAGUAAUUUGCAUAAGUGGUUUUUUUGCCCUCCUUCUAUUGCCUUUUUGUAUUGCAGGAAGAGAGGAGAGGAGGGCAAUGGGGGUGAUCUGCAUCACCCUGUCGUGUCUCAUGAGUAUGGUAAUGGAUUGGCUGUAGAGAGUGCUUGGAUUGGGACUAGGGAUUAUAGUGCUCAAUUGGUUGUUCCAGCGGUUUUGGAGUUUAUUAAUAGGUUUGAAGGUGGGAUUGACGGAAUUAAGGAGAGGAAUCAUGAAAAAGUUGUGGAGAUGGGGGAGAUGUUGGUGAAAGCUUGGGGGACUAAUCUUGGGUCUCCGCCGGAGAUGUGUGGGAGUAUGAUUAUGGUUGGAUUGCCUGCUUGUUUGGGGAUUUCGAGCGAGUCGGAUUCUUUGAAGUUAAGGACACAUUUGAGAGAGCAUUUCCAGGUUGAAGUUCCUAUUUAUUUUAGAGCUCCGCUUGAUGGAGAAGGUGGUUCAAUUACUGGCUAUGCUCGGAUUUCUCAUCAAGUUUACAACAAGGUUGAGGAUUAUUACAGGUUUAGGGAUGCAGUUAACCAACUGAUCAGUGAUGGCUUCACUUGUGCAUCUCUCUCUGAUUGAAGAGGGAGGAUCAUUUUUUGCUUGCCAUCGCCAAUAUACUCUGCUGGUUCUGUUGCUGUCCACUCAUGAUAACGCUGUGGAGUAAUGCCUUGUUCAGAUUUUCUGGUGAUAGAUUCAGCAGUGAAACUUUUUAGAUUGUUUCUAUGCAUUUAAACCGUGACAAUGGCUAGUGAUGACAUUUCUAGAAAUUUUGCAUGAGGAGAAGUAUAAAGAAUACAGAAACGCACAACUUACUUAAACCACCCGUCAAGCUUGAGUCAAAUCAAUUAGUAAAGAUCUGUGAAAUGAAUCUGAUCUUCUUAACCAAUUAAUGAACAUCCGUCACAAUGAUUUGUUGUCUUGUUUGUCUACAUAUUAGUCAAGUACUGUCUAUCCAUCUACCAUAAUGAUAUCACAGGUUUACUUUCCUAGAGCAGCUAUACCUUUCCAGUUUCGGACUUCUCUUCUCCAGUUCAACGAGGUAUGGUAGAAGUGUUCCAAUAAAUUACAGCAAGUGGCCAUGGUUUCGGUACCAUGACUCGCAAAAGUUGACGAACAAACUUGAGAUUGAUGAUGAGUAUCAGAGCUCCAAGAUUGUUCCUCUACUUUCUUUCUUUUGAAUUUGUAGAGGAGAUGAACUUGUCUGUUCUUCUCCCAAGUGAUAUCCUUGUAAAUUAUCAUUAACCUAUUUUAAUUCUUGUAGGGCUCAAAAAAGCUGGAGCUUAUCACAUUUAACAGUUGACCUUAACUAUCAGUUUGUGUGCUUGUAUUGUAACCCAAUAUGCCGUGGAGAUUGUAUCUGAUAUAUGUAUUAGAUUUCUGGUUUUUGUGUU
This is an RNA transcript of Populus nigra (black poplar), 2265 nucleotides long. It is a transcript of the gene named probable L-cysteine desulfhydrase, chloroplastic, with no coding region annotated. The record is from RefSeq and is a predicted model, not a curated record. The transcript is spliced from 3 exons. NCBI's taxonomy places the organism in Eukaryota, Viridiplantae, Streptophyta, Magnoliopsida, Malpighiales, Salicaceae.